RNAcentral lists this ribosomal RNA (542 nucleotides) under Mycobacterium kubicae. RNAcentral describes it as "bacterial SSU rRNA". It matches the Rfam family "Bacterial small subunit ribosomal RNA", at positions 44 to 601 of the family's 1533-position model. Lineage: Bacteria; Bacillati; Actinomycetota; Actinomycetes; Mycobacteriales; Mycobacteriaceae. The record is from RNAcentral.
GUGCUUAACACAUGCAAGUCGAACGGAAAGGCCCCUUCGGGGGUACUCGAGUGGCGAACGGGUGAGUAACACGUGGGUGAUCUACCCUGCACUUCGGGAUAAGCCUGGGAAACUGGGUCUAAUACCGGAUAGGACCAUGAGAUGCAUGUCUUAUGGUGGAAAGCUUUUGCGGUGUGGGAUGGGCCCGCGGCCUAUCAGCUUGUUGGUGGGGUGACGGCCUACCAAGGCGACGACGGGUAGCCGGCCUGAGAGGGUGUCCGGCCACACUGGGACUGAGAUACGGCCCAGACUCCUACGGGAGGCAGCAGUGGGGAAUAUUGCACAAUGGGCGCAAGCCUGAUGCAGCGACGCCGCGUGGGGGAUGACGGCCUUCGGGUUGUAAACCUCUUUCAGCAGGGACGAAGCGCAAGUGACGGUACCUGCAGAAGAAGCACCGGCCAACUACGUGCCAGCAGCCGCGGUAAUACGUAGGGUGCGAGCGUUGUCCGGAAUUACUGGGCGUAAAGAGCUCGUAGGUGGUUUGUCGCGUUGUUCGUGAAAUC